Molecule: ribosomal RNA, 323 nt
Filed under: uncultured Chloroflexota bacterium
Lineage: Bacteria; Bacillati; Chloroflexota
Description: bacterial SSU rRNA
Rfam family: Bacterial small subunit ribosomal RNA
Source: RNAcentral
GAUGAACGCUGGCGGCGUGCUUAAUACAUGCAAGUCGAACGUGAGGGUGGAUUUCGGUUCACCUGAAAGUGGCGGACGGGUGAGUAACACGUAGCUGACCUACCCUGUAGUGGGGGAUAACCUGCCGAAAGGCGGGCUAAUACCGCAUGCACUGAUGGGGUUUAGAAACUCAUCAGGAAAGCUUUAGUGCUACAGGCAGGGGCUGCGGCCCAUCAGCUAGUUGGUAGGGUAAUGGCCUACCAAGGCAAUGACGGGUAGGGGACCUGAGAGGGUGGCCCCCCACACUGGGACUGAGACACGGCCCAGACUCCUACGGGUGGCAG